Molecule: small RNA, 86 nt
Filed under: Rhodoferax sp. BAB1
Lineage: Bacteria; Pseudomonadati; Pseudomonadota; Betaproteobacteria; Burkholderiales; Comamonadaceae
Description: sX9 sRNA
Rfam family: Xanthomonas sRNA sX9
Source: RNAcentral
ACGUACAGGAAGUACGUUCCGGUUCCUGCGCUCCGUCCGCCUUGCGCUCAGGCCGCUCGCUACGAUUUCUUCACAAGUUCUGAGCC